This 71-nucleotide transfer RNA is filed under the name Scaphiopus couchii (Couch's spadefoot toad). RNAcentral describes it as "tRNA-Ser". It matches the Rfam family "tRNA". From Rfam's summary of the family: Transfer RNA (tRNA) molecules are approximately 80 nucleotides in length. Their secondary structure includes four short double-helical elements and three loops (D, anti-codon, and T loops). Lineage: Eukaryota; Metazoa; Chordata; Amphibia; Anura; Pelobatidae. The record is from RNAcentral.
AAGAAAGUGGCAGAGUGGUGAUGUGGCUGACUUGAAAUCAGUUGACGGGGGUUCGAUUCCUUCCUUUCUCG